AAAUUGAAGAGUUUGAUCAUGGCUCAGAUUGAACGCUGGCGGCAGGCCUAACACAUGCAAGUCGAGCGGUAGCACAGAGAGCUUGCUCUCGGGUGACGAGCGGCGGACGGGUGAGUAAUGUCUGGGAAACUGCCUGAUGGAGGGGGAUAACUACUGGAAACGGUAGCUAAUACCGCAUAACGUCGCAAGACCAAAGUGGGGGACCUUCGGGCCUCAUGCCAUCAGAUGUGCCCAGAU
RNAcentral lists this ribosomal RNA (237 nucleotides) under Klebsiella pneumoniae. Its description in RNAcentral is "partial 16S ribosomal RNA". It matches the Rfam family "Bacterial small subunit ribosomal RNA", at positions 1 to 236 of the family's 1533-position model. Lineage: Bacteria; Pseudomonadati; Pseudomonadota; Gammaproteobacteria; Enterobacterales; Enterobacteriaceae. The record is from RNAcentral. RNAcentral also lists the same sequence under 2 other names.